ACGUAGGAGGCAAGCGUUAUCCGGAGUUACUGGGCGUAAAGGGCGUGCAGGCGGUUGGCUAAGUUCGUUGUGAAAGCGCCCAGGCUUAACCGGGCGAGGUUAUGCCAGACUGCCUAGCUAGAGGCAGCAAGAGGGACAUGGAAUUCCGGGUGUAGUGGUGAAAUGCGUAGAUAUCCGGAGGAACUCCAGAGGCGAAGGCGAUGUCCUGGUGCUGACCUGACGCUCAGACACGAAAGCAUGGGGAGUGAACGG
RNAcentral lists this ribosomal RNA (252 nucleotides) under uncultured prokaryote. RNAcentral describes it as "partial 16S ribosomal RNA". It matches the Rfam family "Bacterial small subunit ribosomal RNA", at positions 525 to 775 of the family's 1533-position model. The record is from RNAcentral.